This is an RNA transcript of Camelus dromedarius (Arabian camel), 4936 nucleotides long. It is a transcript of the gene named Fas binding factor 1, with no coding region annotated. NCBI's taxonomy places the organism in Eukaryota, Metazoa, Chordata, Mammalia, Artiodactyla, Camelidae. The record is from RefSeq and is a predicted model, not a curated record. The transcript has 32 exons.
GGCGACUGAGAGAUUGGCGUUCGCGAGGCUCCGUAGCGGGAGGUUGACAGAACCGGGCUCGAGUGGAGUCUGGACCAGUGGCUGUGGCUGGGACACGGCCCAGCGGCUGCGCCUCCGAAGAGAAUGGACAGGCCGACACCAGAGAAGUAGAGAUCCCCUCCUCUGACUCCUUUCUUCCAAGCUGUGCCAAAGGUCAGACUUGGCAGCGUUGAGGAGGGAGAGGAAGAGAGUGAUCAUUCUGAGGAAAACCAUUCUCUACUAAUGGAGAAGGAUGAGCCUGAUGGACAGAAUUCAAAUGAGCUGGACAAUGCUGUGAAGGAGCUGCAAGCAGCCCCCAGAGCCUUGAGAUGGCACCAAAAACCAAGAAGGGAUUGAAAGGCUCCAUUGAUGAUGUCCUUGGUGACCUCCUGGGGGAUGAGACAACACCUGAGAAGCCUGUUAAACUAACUUCACGUGCCAGAGACACCUCAGCUGUCGCUCAGGCCCUCCCUCCUUCGAGGGCGAGGACAAAGUCCCUCCUGGAAGACGAUGGCUUUAGCACGAGGGCAGGCCUGGCAGGAGCUGAUGCUGAGGUUUCGGACAUCUCAGAUGCAGACCCGCAGGCUCUGCUCCAGGCCAUGAAGGAUCUAGAUGAAAUGGAUGCUGAUCUCUUAGGUCUGAAGAAGUCUAAUCUAGCCUCAGACAAAAGGUCUGCCAAGGGUUCUGAGAAAGAAGAGCAGCCUAGUAAUCUUAAACCUGCUGGUAUGUUAACGGCCAAUGAGAAAGGAGACGCCAUUCCCACCAAGAAGCUACCUCUCUCUCCCACCAGCUUUGGGCAUCACAGGAAGUUCUCCUUUGAAGACUUGGAAGACCCAUUGGCAGGACUUCUCUCCGAUGACGAGGAAGGAAUCUCCAAGAAGCCACCAGGGAUGGAGAGCAAAACAGCUUUGGAAAAGAGCGCAGCCCCGGUCAGAGAUCAAGGUCCCUCUCUGCCUGUAACUCCUGGGGACACCCCAGUCCGAAAGAAAGAACUGCUCUUUGACGAUGAGGAUGACAUCAUGGCCACCCUGGGGUUUGGAGACCGCCCCCGAGCAGAGAGGAGGCCAACGGGAGACCAGGCAGCGCCCCUCCCCGCUCGCUCCAAGCUGGAUGAGCUGCUGGGUCGGGGCACUGCCGCCAAACUCCUGGCCCACCCGGGCAGCGGGGAGCGCAGGGAGUUCAAGCUGGACAAGAAGUACCAGAGGCCACAGGACAAAGAAGAAACCUGGGAUGACGAGGACUUCACCUUCAGAGCCUAUCAGCCCACUGUGGGCCCCGAGGGCCGGCAGUCCCGCCGGCAGUCGGUCAGUAGGUUCUUAGAAGGCAGCACAGACCCCAAGGGAGAACCGGGCUCCAGACAGAGCAGCCCAGCGGCGUCCAGCCCCAUCCAGCCCAGGAGGGGAGGCGCCGAUUGGCUGGGCCUCAAGGACGACAUCUCGGACCCACUCCCUCCCUCCCCAGCCAGGGAGGCUCAGAGGGGACCCCCUCCCGUGAGCCAGCUUUCUGCCCCAGGCUGCCACUCAGGCCCGGCCAGGCUGCCUUCCUUCUCGGGGGCAAAGCCACCAACCGAGGGUGCAGGUUCCCCGGCCAAAGCCAGCCAGGCUUCCCAGCCAGGACCAUCUGAGGAAAAGGAGGAGGAGGACUGGCUGAGCCAUGCCCUGUCUCGGAAGAAGUCCCAAGGUCUGGCCAGAGAGGAGCGCACUGCGGCCCCUAAGGGCCAGAACUCCAUGGGGGUAGUGGGCCAGCCGCCUACUGGCAGCCUGCCUGUCGCCAGCCCGCAAGGGCUCAAGCCAGCAGCUACCGCAGGGCCCUCAGAAACAGGAGCACCAAAGCCGCCUGCCAGGUCUGCCACCUCAGGGUCCCGCGUAACUAGGAACCAGGCCGCCUUGGCCCUCCAUGCAGGUGACUCAAAGAGGGGAACAGCCCCUGGAGACCACUCUGGCACCGAGCCUGUGAUUUGUUUCCUGAACUCCCAGGAGCCCCCAGAGCUUUCUGUGCCUGUCCAGUCCCUGCUCCCGGAGUCCCUGGCCCAGAGCCUGCUGCCAAGCACACAAUACCAGAUGCAGCUCCUGGCGGCACAGGCACAGCUUCAGGGUGGCACCGCCGAGCUCCAGGCUGACCUUCUGCAGAGUCAGGCCCGGCUGGCAGAGCUGGAGGCCCAGGUGCGGAAGCUGGAGCUGGAGCGGGCCCAGCACAAGCUGCUGCUGGAGAGUUUGCAGCAGCGGCACCAGGCUGACCUGGAGCUCAUCGAGAGUGCUCACAGAAGCCGCGUCAAAGUGCUAGAAGCAUCGUACCAGCAAAGGGAAGAGAGGCUGCGGAGAGAGAACGAGGAGCUGUCCGCCCAGUACCUGUCGCGCUGCCAGGAAGCCGAGCAGGCCCGCGCCGAGCUCACUGCCCAGCACCAGCGGCGCUUGGCCGCUGCCACGCAGGAGAAGGACCAGGAGAUGGAGCGGCUCCGGGAACUGCAGCGGGCCUCCAUCCUGGAGAUGCGCAAGGACCAUGAGGAGCAGCUGCAGCGGCUGAAACUGCUAAAGGACCGGGAGAUUGAUGCCGUCACCAGCGCCACCUCCCACACGCGGUCCCUGAAUGGCAUCAUUGAGCAGAUGGAGAAGUUCUCCAGCAGCCUGCACGAGCUGUCCUCCCGCGUGGAGGCCUCACACCUCAGCACCACCCAGGAGUGGGAGCUGGGGAUCCGGCAGCGGGACGAGCAGCUCCGAGUGCUGCAGGAGAGGCUGGGCCGGCAGCAGCGGGACAUGGAGGAAGAGCGGAACCGGCUCCAGGAGGUCAUCGGGAAGAUGGAGGCACGCCUGAGUGAGCAGAGCCGGCUGCUGGAGCAGGAACGCUGGCGGGUGAGUGCGGAGCAGUCUAAGGCAGAGUCCGCGCAGCGCACUCUAGAGGAGCAGAGGAAGGUCAUGGUCCAGCAGAUCACCAUGGAGCGGGAGGAGCUGGAGAGAGCCAAGAGUGCCUUGCUGGAGGAGCAGCAGUCCGUCAUGCACAAGUGUGGGGAGGAGCGGCGGCGCCUGGCGGCCGAGUGGGCCGAGUUCUUUACACAGCAGAAGUUGAGUAAGGAGCGGGCGGAGCGAGAGGCAGAGCGGGCGCUGAAGGUGGACACCCAGCGGGAGGGCACCCUCAUCAGCCUGGCCAAGGAGCAGGCAGAGCUGAAGAUCAGGGCAAGUGAGCUCCGGGUCAAGGAGGAUCAGCUGGUGGCCGAGAGGGAGGCUCUGGAGCGGGAGCGGCAGGAGCUGCGGCUGGAGAAGGAUAGGGUCAGUGCCGCCGCCCAGCGCAUCAGGCUGCGUGCUGAGGAGGUGGAGAGCAUGAGCCAGGUGGCCUCAGAGAAGUACGAGGAGGGGCAGCGGGCACUGCGCGAGGCCCGGCAGGUGCAGUCAGAGCAGCAGGCCCGGCUGCAGCUGGUGCAGCAGCAGCAGGAGAGGCUCCGGCAGCAAGAGCAGCACGUGAAUCAGGAGCACCUGAGCCUGGCCCAGCAGCGGCUGCAGCUGGAUCAUGUCCGACAGGACCUGCUCUCUGGCCCUGUGGCGCUGCUCUCCAGGGCCCAGGGCCUGGCACCCUCUGGCCUGAGUGCCGUCGUGGCUCCUGCUCCCACCACGCCUCGGUGCAGCCAGCCGCUGGCCGGCCUGGGCCCCUCGCACCUCCACGCCAAGCUGGUGCUACUGAAACACACAGCUGCGCAGGGAGCAUGUCCUAUGUGCCAGGCUCUGUGCUGAAAGUUUAUGUUCCUUGUAAGCGCUUGCCCUCCCACAGCACUCCAAGGCAGGACCAUGACUUCUUGGAGAAUGAACAGUUCUUCCUGGAGACCCUGAAGAAAGCCUCUGACAACAUGGCAUCCCAUUCAGCCUGAAGGGCCCACCGCCGCCUCAGCAGAGGCCUCAGACCCUGGAACUCUCCCACUGCCCACUGGCUGCCAGCCCCGAGGAAGGAUCCCCAGGAAAACUCUGCAAUGCCCAGGGCCUGAUUACAGCUCUCCCUGUGGAAGGGGUGCAGGCGCCUUCUUCCUUAGCGCUCCACCCCGUGGGUAAGGCCCUGUGCCUCUCGGACUCCAGGGGCAGCAGCUUCUGGGGAGACGCGAUACUGAGGGCAUCCCAGCCCCACGACACUGUCAGCCCCAGCUUUGGUUCUCCUGCCCCGCACGCUCCCAGCUACGGUCCCGGGGUCUGACGGGCGCUGUGGGCCCCUCAGCUCCUCAGCCUGUGGGUGGUUCGGGGAUCUUUUCCCCUGGGCCUCUUCUGAGGCAGGGGGUCUUCUGGAACCCCUUCCCACAAGGAAUCUCCCACCCUUCCUGCCUGAGAGGCCAGCAGAGAGAGCAUGGGGUCUUCUCCCUAAUGGGGACAGAAGAGUCAGGCCACCCAUUUUAAAGGGCCUUCCGGCCUCCUGGCCAAGGGGGUAGGCAGCCAUGCAGGGGCGGAGAGGGCUCUGGGCCCGGCCAGCCUUUACCUCCCAGUCUGCUGCGCUCUUGGGCCUCAGCCAGCCCUGCCUGCUGUCAGGCCGGCUCCCACAAAGUCCCCGCCUUGUUCCCGGCUGCCGGAGCAACGGACUAGCUCACACAGAUACUGGCCUCAUGGCUUCUUGGAAUACGCUCCCCAGAGGCAGGAGGGGGGGCUGUGGGUGAUGGUGGGGUGUGGGGAAGGACAGAAGGCUUCUCUCUGUGCUGUUCACUUGUCACAAAACCACAUCCGGGUGGGAAUGAAGAUGAUGGCAGCGCCAGACCGCUGCCUGGGAGGAGACAGCACCCUGGGGACGGGAGGGGCUGCUGCCCUGUGUCAGAGUCUGGGGGGCUCUGCCCUUCUCCACUUGUGGGCAGUGGGCCAAGGCCAGUCGGAGGGGCACCAGGAAAGGGUUGGGAGAGUUGGUGGUUGUCCCCUGCAAACCCAAGGACUCAACUAAUAAAAUCACAACUAAUCUA